UCCCCACACAAACCAGGUCUGUCCGUUUCCAGGACUCCUCAGCAGCGACCCAAGGUGGUAGCGUUACGGCCGCGAAAACGCUCAGCUACCCGGCAGGCUCUUGUCUUCUUUGGCUUCUACGUCCUGACCGCGGCGUCAUGACGUCAUGAGAGGCUUCUCCCCGCCUCCUCCCUGGACAGCCAAUGGGAACUGCCCGUUUGUUUUGAGCCCGCCCUUCCGCACGCAAUCACGCGGGAGGCGUGGUAAUACAAGCCAGAAGUCGGAGGCGGGGACGGUGGCCCCGAAGGGUCAAACGCACUCAAAUCAUCCGGCUUUCCGCCCUUUCAAAAACGCUUAUCUUUGGGCCAGGGAUUUAGCUCAGUGGUUCCGUCGCCUGCCUCGCUAAGCGCAAGGACUUGAGUUCGAUCCCUGGUACCAAAAAAAAAAAAAAGCAAAAACUCUUGUCCUGAUCCAGUGUUUGGCAGCCAUUAUUAUUCCUAAAAUGUGAACUGGAGUGGUGAGAACUGUGGGACUACCCACAGCAUCGUGACAUGAUCUCACUGCAGUUCAGGCUGGGCUUGAACUCACAAUGAUCAUCCUGCCUCACCCUCCUGAGUGCUGGGAUUAUAGGCAUGCGCCACCACGCCCAGCUAAUCUCCCUCUAAAGUCUCAAACUCAGUCCAGAGCUGCUUUCUCAGAGAGCCCUGCUGUGUGUGCCGUGACUCCUUGAACUUCUCUUACUGAACUGUGAUUGCAUGGAUUAGCAAACGCCCUUAGAUGCCUCUGCUUCUCUUUCUGGAAAUUGAUUGCCAAGAGCAGUCAAGCUUUGAUUUUUCUCAAUACAGAAGUCUCUGGGAGAUGGAGAGUGAGUUGAUUCAGCAGCGCCGCCGUAAAGCAGCAGCGCUUACAGGAGCUCCUGCAGUUGGUCUUCCAUCCCGUGUAUCAACAUGCACACUCAGCUGUUUCCAGCUUAUCCCUCGCUCUGGUGUGGGCCGUGUGUCUGCCUUCUGGGAUUGGAACUGCCGCUGAGCCUGAACAGGAGCAGCACUGCCACACAGGCCCCAGAGGGGAGGCCACCCCACCUCUCCUCAGGAGCAGAAUCCAGGGAGGGGAAAAAUAAGCACCCAGUCGCUCAUAAAAUAAAGACUUCCCUUUUAUUUUA
Long non-coding RNA from Heterocephalus glaber (naked mole-rat), 1141 nucleotides. RefSeq lists it as uncharacterized. NCBI's taxonomy places the organism in Eukaryota, Metazoa, Chordata, Mammalia, Rodentia, Bathyergidae. The record is from RefSeq and is a predicted model, not a curated record.